CUGAGAUAACAGCAAUUUCCCUUCCGUGUAACUAAUGUUAUAUUUUGUAGUUGUAAUUGCACAUACGCACAGACGAUAAUUUAUUUUAGACAAUGAGGAAAUUGACAUACAUCCUCUUGACCCAAAACAAGACUAAAUAAUGAAUGCAUCAAUCCCUGGGGAAGUAGGUUUGGUUAACGGUGUAUAUUCUGCCUUAAAUCUUAGACCUAGAUUAACACAUGAUUUAUUUAUUUUGUGACUGUUUGUAUGAUUUAUUAACAUUUAUUUAAGAAUAAGUGAAGUCCCUGGGAAAUUCAACAUUUUUAAUAACACUUUGAUAGUAAAUAAGGAAACAUACUGUGCUCCUGAAAAGUACUUAUAAUUCAAAUGGUGUGUAAGAUUGUUUUAUUGAGGUGAAAUUUAUAAUCUGUCAUUCCCUUCCCCCUCCCCCUCCCCCAUAUUCUCCCUGUCUCUAAUUUCAGACUAUUACUGUUGGCGACGUUGCAGAUCUGAAGUACCAUCACUGUUGGUGACUCCUUGCAGACUGUAGUUUGAGAACGUUGUGGUGACCUUGAUAGUGCCCUGCUGUUGAGGAACUCUCUGGAUUCUUUCUCUCUAUCAAAACCGCAUUCUCUCUUUCCUAUCACUUGUUUCCACUCAAUCUGAUUAUAUGGCCACUCUGUCUAUCCUAUCCAAUCUACCUUGCUCUGUCUAAUUUUUGGCAUAUUCUAUCUUUUGUGUCCCUCAAGUUACCAGUACUUGAUCUCUGCCACCAGGUUACAAGUACUUGGUGGUACGCUCUAUCUAUUUUUGGUAUUUCUGUCUUGCUAUCCCACUCUACAAGUGAAAAGUGCUUGAUCUAUCCCACUCUAUCUAUAAGAACCGCAAACCGAUUUGACGUUUGAAAAAACGCAAAAAAACGCUUGGCACUGAUUUUUGAAACAACUCUUGACAUUUUGGCUUUCAAGUUACCAGUACUUGAUCUAUCUGUUGAAAAAGCAAAUCUAAGAGUCUCUCUGCUCUUACGCUCUCUCUCUCUGUCUCUGUCAAGUGAAAAGUGCUUGAACUCAACAUUUAAUUGUAUCAUUGUCACAACACAUAAAUUGUUGUACUAAGUGGAUAGUUACAAAUAUAUAUAUACAAAGGUUAUACGUUUAUAAUUUCAAUCCAUAUUUAUUUUAUAAGAACUGUUGUUACUGAAUUUUGUUACCGUAAACGUAUCUAAUUCCUAAAGGCUGUUUUAAGUCAUAUUUGAUUUUUGCUGUAUUUAUUUACUUAACUAGUUAACAUAAUACGAUAUUGUAUUCAUUUUCUCUGAUAAACGUAAACACACCCCAGGUAUACAGUUCACACACUGUUUUGAUCAGAAAAUAAAGAGCUUUGUUAUUGUCUAACUUGUCAUAUACUGCAAUAAAACAACCAACUGAA
Long non-coding RNA from Trematomus bernacchii (emerald rockcod), 1407 nucleotides. RefSeq lists it as uncharacterized. The record is from RefSeq and is a predicted model, not a curated record. The transcript has 4 exons. Lineage: Eukaryota; Metazoa; Chordata; Actinopteri; Perciformes; Nototheniidae.